RNAcentral lists this long non-coding RNA (648 nucleotides) under Cairina moschata (Muscovy duck). RNAcentral describes it as "domestica (muscovy Duck (domestic type)) lncRNA (ENSCMMG00000005085.1)". The record is from RNAcentral. Lineage: Eukaryota; Metazoa; Chordata; Aves; Anseriformes; Anatidae.
AUGCUCCCUGCUGGUCCCUUGUGGUCCCCAGCAUGCAGUGUUUGCUGGAUCCCAGCCCUCAGACUGCUCAAGUGGGAGCUGAGAGGAAGACUGAGCACCUUGUCAAUGGGCGCUUCUUCCAGGAAGGAGGAGAACCAUGAGCCUUUUCCACAAUGCCUGCUUGCAGAACUGGGACUGGCUCCAGGGUGGGUGGCAGCAUCCCAGGGCCCGGAGCAGCAAGCAUCAGGAGCCCAAACGCCUGCUCAAAAAGGAGAAAAGCCCCAGAGGUGGACCCUGGUAUGUGGAAUAUCAACCUCUGCCCCUGGAGGAGCUGUGGAUGGAGCUGGGAUCUGGAGCAAGGAGAAGGCAAUGGACCACAUGGCUAUUUGGUGUGGGGAGAAGAAUGCAGCAGAGCUUGGAAACUCCUCCAAACCACCUAUCACACCUGAGAAUGUCAAGGGAGUAGAAAACAGGUCUUAUGGGAGGAGGUUUCUCUGCACUUGGAGCAACACCAUGAGGGUGACCAUCAUCCUGCAUGCUGGGCAAGCUGGUGUCUCUGUAUGGACCCUUAUCCUCAUGGACUUAAGGGAGCCAAGUCAGCCUGCUGCAUGGAACGAAGAGAACCCAGGACAAGCUUCUGUCUCUGGACACCUUUUAACCUGUCAGUAG